RNAcentral lists this ribosomal RNA (414 nucleotides) under uncultured bacterium. Its description in RNAcentral is "bacterial SSU rRNA". It matches the Rfam family "Bacterial small subunit ribosomal RNA", at positions 355 to 787 of the family's 1533-position model. The record is from RNAcentral.
UGGGGAAUAUUGGGCAAUGGGGGAAACCCUGACCCAGCGACGCCGCGUGAGGGAAGAAGGUUUUCGGAUUGUAAACCUCUGUCCUUGGCGACGAUAAUGACGGUAGCCAAGGAGGAAGCCACGGCUAACUACGUGCCAGCAGCCGCGGUAAUACGUAGGUGGCGAGCGUUGUCCGGAAUUACUGGGUGUAAAGGGAGCGUAGGCGGGAGAGCAAGUCGACUGUGAAAGCUAUGGGCUUAACCCAUAGAUGCGAUCGAAACUGUUCAUCUUGAGUGAAGUAGAGGCAGGCGGAAUUCCUAGUGUAGCGGUGAAAUGCGUAAAUAUUAGGAGGAACACCAGUGGCGAAGGCGGCCUGCUGGGCUGUAACUGACGCUGAGGCUCGAAAGCGUGGGUAGCAAACAGGAUUAGAUACCC